GAGGGUAUAGCUCAGUGGGUAGAGAGUGUGUUUAAUAUGCAUGAGGUCCUGGGUUCAGUCCCCAGUAUCUCCA
This 73-nucleotide transfer RNA is filed under the name Camelus bactrianus (Bactrian camel). It matches the Rfam family "tRNA". Rfam says of the family: Transfer RNA (tRNA) molecules are approximately 80 nucleotides in length. Their secondary structure includes four short double-helical elements and three loops (D, anti-codon, and T loops). The record is from Rfam by way of RNAcentral. Lineage: Eukaryota; Metazoa; Chordata; Mammalia; Artiodactyla; Camelidae. RNAcentral also lists the same sequence under 1 other name.